UACAGAGGGGGCAAGCGUUGUUCGGAAUUACUGGGCGUAAAGGGCUCGUAGGCGGCCAACUAAGUCGGAUGUGAAAUCCCCAGGCUCAACUUGGGAACUGCAUCCGAUACUGGAUGGCUUGAAUCCGGGAGAGGGAUGCAGAAUUCCAGGUGUAGCGGUGAAAUGCGUAGAUAUCUGGAGGAAUACCGGUGGCGAAGGCGGCAUCCUGGACCGGCAUUGACGCUGAUGAGCGAAAGCUAGGGGAGCAAACGGG
Molecule: ribosomal RNA, 253 nt
Filed under: uncultured bacterium
Lineage: Bacteria
Description: partial 16S ribosomal RNA
Rfam family: Bacterial small subunit ribosomal RNA
Source: RNAcentral